UCAUGUUAACGGUAAGUUUACUUACCGCUUAACAUCGAGUGUUAAAUAUGCUAGUCCUUUCAUGAUUAUGUGAUAGGUGGUGCAUGGCCGUUCUUAGUUCGUGGAGUGAUCUGUCUGCUUAAUUGCGUUUCACUAAGGGCCCAUAAAUUCAAGGUAUGUUAGCUCUCGUCGCUCUAUGGACCCCUUAACUCCAAUAUUCUUAUUGUGUUAAGCGCGUGUCUUUAUUUUAAGAGUUUUAAGACACUGCGCAUG
This 252-nucleotide ribosomal RNA is filed under the name Neogloboquadrina pachyderma. RNAcentral's name for it is "partial small subunit ribosomal RNA". The record is from RNAcentral. Lineage: Eukaryota; Foraminifera; Rotaliida; Globorotaliidae.